GGAUGUGAGGGCGAUCUGGCUGCGACAUCUGUCACCCCAUUGAUCGCCAGGGUUGAUUCGGCUGAUCUGGCUGGCUAGGCGGUGGCCCCUUCCUCCCUCACUGCUCCAUGUGCGUCCUCCCGAAGCUGCGCGCUCGGUCGAAGAGGAAGACCACCCCCGAUAGAGGAGGACCGCUUCCUCGGUCAAGGGUGUACGAGUAGCUGCGCUCCCCUGCUAGAACCUCCAAACAAGCUCUCAAGGAAUGUGGGACUACUCUGUAUUAUCUUUGUAAAUUUCUGUGAAGCUAAAAUUAUUU
RNAcentral lists this small nuclear RNA (295 nucleotides) under Heterocephalus glaber (naked mole-rat). Its description in RNAcentral is "7SK RNA". It matches the Rfam family "7SK RNA". From Rfam's summary of the family: 7SK was discovered as an abundant small nuclear RNA in the mid-70s but a possible function has only recently been suggested. Two independent studies have found that 7SK RNA binds the CDK9/cyclin T complex (known as elongation factor P-TEFb). Lineage: Eukaryota; Metazoa; Chordata; Mammalia; Rodentia; Bathyergidae. The record is from Rfam by way of RNAcentral.